Molecule: long non-coding RNA, 298 nt
Organism: Lucilia sericata (common green bottle fly)
Lineage: Eukaryota; Metazoa; Arthropoda; Insecta; Diptera; Calliphoridae
Exons: 2
Source: RefSeq, a predicted model, not a curated record
GUAUAUUGUUCCGUAGUAUAAAAACGGCUUACAAAUUUAAUUAUAAUUUAUAAUUAUUAAAACUUUCACAAUGAAUCUUUUAAAUCUAUUAGUAUUUGCCAUCGUUACACACUGCUUUACACACUGAAGCUAAAGGUGGCAAGAAAACAGCUGCUGGUGUCGAAGUUGCCAAACAUGUAGGAGCCGCUACUGGCCGGGAAGCUGUAAGACAAGUAGCAGGCAAAUUUUAAAUUGUUUUAAAUAAUAAUAAAGAAUGCCUAUACAUAUGUAUUAUGUACGUGUGUUGACUUUAACAAAA